GAUGAACGCUGGCGGCGUGCUUAACACAUGCAAGUCGAACGGGAAUUCUUUUAUUGAAACUUCGGUCGAUUUAAUUUAAUUCUAGUGGCGGACGGGUGAGUAACGCGUGGGUAACCUGCCUUAUACAGGGGGAUAACAGUCAGAAAUGGCUGCUAAUACCGCAUAAGCGCACAGAGCUGCAUGGCUCAGUGUGAAAAACUCCGGUGGUAUAAGAUGGACCCGCGUUGUAUUAGCUGGUUGGUGGGGUAACGGCCCACCAAGGCGACGAUCCAUAGCCGGCCUGAGAGGGUGAACGGCCACAUUGGGACUGAGACACGGCCCAGACUCCUACGGGAGGCAGCAGUGGGGAAUAUUGCACAAUGGGGGAAACCCUGAUGCAGCGACGCCGCGUGAAGGAAGAAGUAUCUCGGUAUGUAAACUUCUAUCAGCAGGGAAGAUAGUGACGGUACCUGACUAAGAAGCCCCGGCUAACUACGUG
Molecule: ribosomal RNA, 478 nt
Filed under: uncultured bacterium
Lineage: Bacteria
Description: partial 16S ribosomal RNA
Rfam family: Bacterial small subunit ribosomal RNA
Source: RNAcentral